RNAcentral lists this ribosomal RNA (455 nucleotides) under uncultured fungus. RNAcentral's name for it is "SSU rRNA". It matches the Rfam family "Eukaryotic small subunit ribosomal RNA", at positions 624 to 1083 of the family's 1831-position model. The record is from RNAcentral. Lineage: Eukaryota; Fungi.
AAGCUCGUAGUAGAAGCUCGGGCUCCGGCCGACUGGUCCGCCUCACCGCGUGCACUGGUUCGGCCGGGCCUUCACCUUCUGCGGAACCGCAUCUCCUUCACUGGGGGUGUCGGGGAAACAGGACGUUUACUGUGAAAAAAUUAGAGUGCUCCAGGCAGGCCUAUGCUCGAAUAGAUUAGCAUGGAAUAAUGGAAUAGGACGUGUGGUCUUAUUUCGUUGGUUUCUAGGACCGCCGUAAUGAUUAAUAGGGACAGUCGGGGGCAUCAGUAUUCAAUCGUCAGAGGUGAAAUUCUUGGAUCGAUUGAAGACUAACUACUGCGAAAGCAUUUGCCAAGGAUGUUUUCAUUUAUCAGGAACGAAAGUUAGGGGAUCGAAGACGAUCAGAUACCGUCGUAGUCUUAACCAUAAACUAUGCCGACUAGGGAUCGGACGGUGUUAUUUCUUGACCCGUUCGG